Molecule: ribosomal RNA, 439 nt
Filed under: uncultured bacterium
Lineage: Bacteria
Description: bacterial SSU rRNA
Rfam family: Bacterial small subunit ribosomal RNA
Source: RNAcentral
GCACAACGCGAAGAACCUUACCUGGUCUUGACAUAGUAAGAACUUUCCAGAGAUGGAUUGGUGCCUUCGGGAACUUACAUACAGGUGCUGCAUGGCUGUCGUCAGCUCGCGUCGUGAGAUGUUGGGUUAAGUCCCGUAACGAGCGCAACCCUUGUCCUUAGUUACCAGCACGUUAUGGUGGGCACUCUAAGGAGACUGCCGGUGACAAACCGGAGGAAGGUGGGGAUGACGUCAAGUCAUCAUGGCCCUUACGGCCUGGGCUACACACGUGCUACAAUGGUCGGUACAGAGGGUUGCCAAGCCGCGAGGUGGAGCUAAUCUCACAAAACCGAUCGUAGUCCGGAUCGCAGUCUGCAACUCGACUGCGUGAAGUCGGAAUCGCUAGUAAUCGCGAAUCAGAAUGUCGCGGUGAAUACGUUCCCGGGUCUUGUACACACCG